AGGUGCUGCAUGGCUGUCGUCAGCUCUGGGGGGUCUGAGAUGUUGGGUUAAGUCCCGCAACGAGCGCAACCCUCGUCCUUAGUUGCCAUCAUUAAGUUGGGCACUUUAGGAAACUGCCGGUGAUAAGCCGGAGGAAGGUGGGGAUGACGUCAAGUCCUCAUGGCCCUUACAGGCUGGGCUACACACGUGCUACAAUGGCAUCUACAGCGGGCAGCUAUUCCGCAAGGAUGCGCUAAUCUCCAAAAGAUGUCUCAGUUCGGAUUGUCCUCUGCAACUCGAGGGCAUGAAGGCGGAAUCGCUAGUAAUCGCGGAUCAGCAUGCCGCGGUGAAUACGUUCUCGGGUUU
This 345-nucleotide ribosomal RNA is filed under the name uncultured Porphyrobacter sp. Its description in RNAcentral is "bacterial SSU rRNA". It matches the Rfam family "Bacterial small subunit ribosomal RNA", at positions 1036 to 1381 of the family's 1533-position model. The record is from RNAcentral. Lineage: Bacteria; Pseudomonadati; Pseudomonadota; Alphaproteobacteria; Sphingomonadales; Erythrobacteraceae.